RNAcentral lists this long non-coding RNA (1991 nucleotides) under Lynx pardinus (Iberian lynx). Lineage: Eukaryota; Metazoa; Chordata; Mammalia; Carnivora; Felidae. The record is from RNAcentral.
GCAGACUCACAGAAACAGAUGGCUAGACAUGGAAGAAAGGCUAGAUUUUGAUUUUUUGCUUUAUAAAUUCAGCAAAUUGGGCACAGCAGCAAUAGUCAGAUUCUAUCUGGUUCACUCCCAGCAAACCAGACUCUUGUGGAUCUGCACGGCUUCACGUGGCUUCAUUUCUUUUCCAAGAUGAUCUCAUCUUGCAAAUGGGCUUUCAUCCUGAUCAGGUAAAGAGAAAAGCUGGUGACUUGGCAGGAUUAUUCUUGCCUGUAAGAAUAUGAAUCAGGGCUCCACACUUUCCGGACAUUUAUCUUUGUUUUCGAUCAUUUGAGGCUGAAUCCACACCUUGGCCACUCAUCCCUCCACUGUUCUAUCUUUCCUUGAUAAGAAGAGAGUAAGAAGUAGACGGGCUGUGAGUUAUGUUGUUAGCACGAAGGGCCUUUCUACAUUGUUUUUUCUCUUUUUACAGUUUAUCUUACAUUCCCAGUCAUCCAGCAGAAUUGUAAACUGGUAGUUUGAAGGGGCUGGUACAGCUCUUCUCUCAGAUAGUCCUUAUGCCUCUGACAGAAUGCUUCCUGGCCAUGGGACUGACUGUCGAGAAAGACAAUAUAGCCUGUGGGAUGUGGCUGGUUUGGGAGGUUUUUGAGUCUUGACGCUGUGAUUUGGUGUUAUGUGUUCUUGUCCUCUCUCAACCUAAGUUAUUGAAUUUGCGAAAUGGGGCUAAUAAAGCAUUCAAUUCAGGUUGACAGUAGGCUAGGAGAGCACUGCCACCGUGUCAGCAAGGACAAGGUGUAGCUGCCACACUGCCAAGACCCAGCACCCCCUAAAGUGACUCAGCUAAGAAGGCAGUCCCGGAAGGGCAGCCUAAAUUGUGCCCAAAAGGCACAGAGGUGACCCAGGCUGAUGUUCCAUCAAGCUGUUGGAGCAGCGGGUAGGGGGACCCCUCCCUCAGUGGCUACUCGGGAAGGAGGAGGAAGUAAUGCGCAGGUGCUGAGAUGAUGGCUCCCAUUUCGGACCUGACAUGCAGGAUUUCUGUGACUAUCCGCAAGUUAUUUCAUGUUUUUAAGCUUCAUUUUCUUCAUCUGCAAAUUGAAACAAUAAAAUCUAUUUGGAGAGUUCCUGAGAAGCUUAAAGUAAUGGAGUGAAAGCAUGACAAGGGUUUAGCAAUGGGCUUAAUAUGUAGCAAGUGCCUAAAAAUGGUAGCUUAAGGCAAACAAGUAGCUGGAAGACAGCAGAGUUUGGGGAGAUGGAUCCAUUCCUGGUAGAACCCCUGCCCAUAAGAGGACAGAUGAAAGGGACGGGCUCUCUCUUUGCGAUGGGUACUAGUGAGCGCCAACAAGCCCAGCCUAGCCAUUGGGGCAUGGGCUCAGGCUCUGUUCUUAAGGUGGCCAUGCUGUUGGACGGAAUUAGGAUGUGGAUAUCAGGCUUCAUCCGGAAAUUCUCAGAGACCUGUAUCUUGUACUAUGUGACAGGAUGCCUGAGGCUUUGCAAGGGAGAGUAUUAUGCUGGUUGGCCUGUCGGAGUCUCCAUGAUGCAUCCCCACCACCCACCUCUCCAGUUCUCAGGGUGAGUUUCCUGUUCAAGCAUUUAGGUGGGGACUGAAUGCAACUUUCGAGAAUUGACUUAGAGCUUGGGGGAACCAGGAGGCAGCUGACACUUCCCCUAGUUGCUCACAACUUGUGUUGACUGAAAAAUACUGCCAUAUAAGUCUCUCCAUGACCUGACUUCUCCCCAUGUUUUUAGCCAGGCUCUUCUUCACAAUUUAAGCUUUGAUGAUAUCCCCAUUUAUACCAUGCUGAUUUAUGCCUCCAUAUCUUUGUUCUUCCCAAACCUUCAGCCUGCAAUGCUUUUCCUGCAUUUCUUCAUCUGGACAGCUUUCAACAUUCCUCAAGGCUCAGCUGAGUAAUCACUUCCUCCAGGAUGCCUUCCCUGAGUCCAUGGGAUAAAAAUAGCAACCAAUUGGGGCGCCUGGGUGGCGCAGUCGGUUAAGCGUCCGACCUCAG